RNAcentral lists this ribosomal RNA (484 nucleotides) under uncultured bacterium. Its description in RNAcentral is "partial 16S ribosomal RNA". It matches the Rfam family "Bacterial small subunit ribosomal RNA", at positions 30 to 507 of the family's 1533-position model. The record is from RNAcentral.
AUUGAACGCUGGCGGCAGGCCUAACACAUGCAAGUCGAGCGGAUGAGGGGAGCUUGCUCCCUGAUUUAGCGGCGGACGGGUGAGUAAUGCCUAGGAAUCUGCCUGUUAGUGGUUGAUAACGUUCUGAAAGGAACGCACAUACCGCAUACGUCCUUCGGGACAAAGCAGGGGACCUUCGGGCCUUCCGCUCUCACAUGAGCCUAGGUCGGAUUAUCUAGUUGGUGAGGUAAUGGCCCACCAAGGCGACGAUCCGUAGCUGGUCUGAGAGGAUGAUCAGUCACACUGGAACUGAGACACGGUCCAGACUCCUACGGGAGGCAGCAGUGGGGAAUAUUGGACAAUGGGCGAAAGCCUGAUCCAGCCAUGCCGCGUGGGUGAAGAAGGUCUUCGGAUUGUAAAGCACUUUAAGUUGGGAGGAAGGGCUGCUGGUUAAUACCCCGCAGUUUUGACGUUACCAAAAGAAUAAGCACCGGCUAACUUCGUG